Molecule: RNA transcript, 1342 nt
Organism: Spinacia oleracea (spinach)
Lineage: Eukaryota; Viridiplantae; Streptophyta; Magnoliopsida; Caryophyllales; Amaranthaceae
Exons: 7
Source: RefSeq, a predicted model, not a curated record
UCCACGAUUCUGAGAGGGAAAUCCCCAAUUUUUUCCCUUCAAAAACUCCCCCAAUAUUUGCACUUAUCAGGUUAUGGAAACUGCAAUUGGGUUUAAUUUUUUUCCCUCAAUCAGUCUGUCUCUCUCCUUCUACGUUACUCAUUUAUUCCCAAAAUUAUUCAAAGAAAGCACGAAAAUUCACUCCGAGCAGGCGGCGCCGAUAGAUCAACUCACGCAUUGAAAUUCAGGGGCAUGGCAAAGCGAUUGAGGCCCUGUGCAAUUAGCAGAGGCCCUGUGAGUCAGGGUGAAGAGCUUCAUGGUGAAUUCAGUCAGGGUGAAGAGCUUCAUGGUGAAUUCAGUCAGGAUCCUCGCCUAGAAGUAUCCGCUGUUUUGGCAGAACCGAUGCUGCAACUUGAAAGCCACAGGCUGAUUCUUCAAAAGGUAAUGGAAGGACCAAAGCAAAGUAUUCAGGAAUAAGUUGGGAGUUUUUUGCUGCCGGAAAAGUUUCUUCAUCGUCUCCCACACCUGAUCUUCCGGAGAUUGCAUUUGCUGGUCUGUGCUAUUCUCUUUGCAGGAGGUGAUACAGUUGCUAAUAUGUACCCUUUAGUCUGUUCGGUGCUAAUACAGUUGGACCAAAUGCCGAGUUCAGAACAUGAGGGUUAAAACAAUGACAAACUCUAAAGAUCCGCCCAAAGCUCUCAGUUCCAACAGUGCACAAUAUCUCUUUUUUUUUCAGGAAGUCCAGCUUCUCGAUCUGUGGAGUUUCUCAAAAUUUUCUUUGCAGAUGGAAAACAGUGAAACUCUGAAGGAUAAGGAUGGGGAUUUCAGCCUUAUACACUCCAUUCACACUACUACAACACUAUACUGGUUGUUAGCUUUGCACUUUGCAGCUGAAAAAAGAAGGCAACUGGUGGCGGAAGAAACAACACCCAAGAGUGGGCAAUUUACUUUCCUGGAUUGAUUCAAUCUAAGCACAAGUACAUUAGCAUGCCCUGUUAAGGAGAGUGUGAAGCUCUAUGCUAACAGCUUUUAAUUUGCUCAGCUAGCCAGGAGCCGAGAUGCAAUUCCAUAGAGAUUGUAAGCCAAAUUAAAGCUGCAGGGAAGUAAGGAAUUCAUAGUAGCUGUUGAAGACUUCGAUCAUAUGUUUUCAUAGCAAUUGAAGACCUUAGUUGAAGACCUUAUCUGUUCUGUUUGAGCUCAGGCACUUUUUUACCAUAAUUGACUAUGGUUAACUUUGCUAAGAGUUGUAUUACCUUUAUGGCUUUCAAAUUGUUGUUCACUAGGUGUUUAUUUGUUUUCACUUGUACAAACUCCAUUUUCUUUGAGUUUAAUACAAUUUCACAACAAAAAAUAGAACUCAUUG